CUCUACCCUGGAAAACUCCAAGGGUGAACAAACAUUUACCUACUGCCUGCUUGCUGUCCAAGGGUCUGGAAUGGGAUAUUGCUCCUCCUGGAGAUGCAGAGAUGGAUGCAGGUCUGCAGGAUAGCAAGAGCCACAAUAGUCUUCUCAUUUUCCCAUGCGAGACUUCCAUUAAACACUAUAAAAGGCCCCACUUCUUUCAGCUGGGAACCUAGCCUGGAUUUUUCUACCCUAAGGAAGACACAAAACCUCCUGAACCUCCAACCUUGGAGCCUUCCCCCUGCCCCAGCCUGGCUCACAACGCUGCUGCUGUAUGCCCAUGAGGAGGAACAGAUGAAACACAAGGCAGAAAGAAAAUCUGAAAAUGUUUGAGGCCACGAGAAGUUUCAUUUUAGACAGGACUCACACAUCUGCUGCACCCACCCUUGAAGGACUGUUUCAUCAUGUCCAGUACUUGAUGAAAGAUGUGCAGAGCUUCACCUGUGGAACAUGAGAUUCAGGCACUUGGCUUCUGGGCCUGAACUGCUCUGAUCUGCUGGUGUUAUCUUGUGUAUCCUCUGGUCCUGUGCACAGUGGAGGAGAUUCAAGUACAUGUAGGUGCUCUGGUACGUGC
Molecule: long non-coding RNA, 610 nt
Organism: Lagopus leucura (white-tailed ptarmigan)
Lineage: Eukaryota; Metazoa; Chordata; Aves; Galliformes; Phasianidae
Exons: 4
Source: RefSeq, a predicted model, not a curated record